GAUGAACGCUGGCGGCGUGCCUAAUACAUGCAAGUCGAGCGAACAGACGAGGAGCUUGCUCCUCUGACGUUAGCGGCGGACGGGUGAGUAACACGUGGAUAACCUACCUAUAAGACUGGGAUAACUUCGGGAAACCGGAGCUAAUACCGGAUAAUAUAUUGAACCGCAUGGUUCAAUAGUGAAAGACGGUUUUGCUGUCACUUAUAGAUGGAUCCGCGCCGCAUUAGCUAGUUGGUAAGGUAACAGCUUACCAAGGCAACGAUGCGUAGCCGACCUGAGAGGUUGAUCGGCCACACUGGAACUGAGACACGGUCCAGACUCCUACGGGAGGCAGCAGUAGGGAAUCUUCCGCAAUGGGCGAAAGCCUGACGGAGCAACGCCGCGUGAGUGAUGAAGGUCUUCGGAUCGUAAAACUCUGUUAUUAGGGAAGAACAAAUGUGUAAGUAACUAUGCACGUCUUGACGGUACCUAAUCAGAAAGCCACGGCUAACUACGUG
This 497-nucleotide ribosomal RNA is filed under the name uncultured bacterium. Its description in RNAcentral is "partial 16S ribosomal RNA". It matches the Rfam family "Bacterial small subunit ribosomal RNA", at positions 28 to 507 of the family's 1533-position model. The record is from RNAcentral.